AGAGCGAACGCUGGCGGCGUGCUUAACACAUGCAAGUCGAACGCGCAGCAUUCUGUAGCAAUACAGGAUGUGGGCGCGUGGCGAACGGGUGCGUAACACGUGGAUAACCUUCCUUCAGGUGGGGAAUAACCCAGUGAAAAUUGGGCUAAUACCGCAUCAUAUUACGAGGGCACAUGCUCUUGUACUCAAAGCCGCAAGGCGCCAGAAGAGGGAUCCGCGGCCGAUUAGCUUGUUGGCGAGGUAAUGGCUCACCAAGGCAUUGAUCGGUA
RNAcentral lists this ribosomal RNA (269 nucleotides) under uncultured bacterium. RNAcentral's name for it is "partial small subunit ribosomal RNA". It matches the Rfam family "Bacterial small subunit ribosomal RNA", at positions 26 to 285 of the family's 1533-position model. The record is from RNAcentral.